RNAcentral lists this ribosomal RNA (398 nucleotides) under uncultured eukaryote. Its description in RNAcentral is "SSU rRNA". It matches the Rfam family "Eukaryotic small subunit ribosomal RNA", at positions 567 to 972 of the family's 1831-position model. The record is from RNAcentral.
CCAGCAGCUGCGGUAAUUCCAGCUCCAAUAGCGUAUAUUUAAGUUGUUGCAGUUAAAAAGCUCGUAGUUGGAUUUCGGGUGGGUUCUAGCGGUCCGCCUAUGGUGAGUACUGCUAUGGCCUACCUUUCUGCUGGGGACGGGCUCCUGGGCUUCACUGUCCGGGACUCGGAGUCAGCGUGGUCACUUUGAAAAAAAUGGAGUGUUCAAAGCAGGCUUACGCUCUGAACAAUUUAGCAUGGAAUGACACGAUAGGACUCUGGCCUAUCUUGUCGGUCUGUAGGACCGGAGUAAUGAUUAAGAGGGACAGUCGGGGGCAUUCGUAUUUCAUUGUCAGAGGUGAAAUUCUUGGAUUUAUGAAAGACGAACUACUGCGAAAGCAUUUGCCAAGGAUGUUUUCA